AUUGAACGCUGGCGGCAUGCCUUACACAUGCAAGUCGAACGGCAGCACGGGUGCUUGCCCCUGGUGGCGAGUGGCGAACGGGUGAGUAAUACAUCGGAACAUGUCCUGUAGUGGGGGAUAGCCCGGCGAAAGCCGGAUUAAUACCGCAUACGAUCUACGGAUGAAAGCGGGGGACCUUCGGGCCUCGCGCUAUAGGGUUGGCCGAUGGCUGAUUAGCUAGUUGGUGGGGUAAAGGCCUACCAAGGCGACGAUCAGUAGCUGGUCUGAGAGGACGACCAGCCACACUGGGACUGAGACACGGCCCAGACUCCUACGGGAGGCAGCAGUGGGGAAUUUUGGACAAUGGGCGAAAGCCUGAUCCAGCAAUGCCGCGUGUGUGAAGAAGGCCUUCGGGUUGCAAAGCACUUUUGUCCGGAAAGAAAUCCUUGGCCCUAAUACGGUCGGGGGAUGACGGUACCGGAAGAAUAAGCACCGGCUAACUACGUG
This 486-nucleotide ribosomal RNA is filed under the name uncultured bacterium. Its description in RNAcentral is "partial 16S ribosomal RNA". It matches the Rfam family "Bacterial small subunit ribosomal RNA", at positions 30 to 507 of the family's 1533-position model. The record is from RNAcentral.